AAGGCUAAUCUUCGCGGCACCACAGUAACAUUGAUACCCUUUGGUGCAAAUAUAACUGCCUUGUAAGUACUCCUUGACUUUCCCACAUUUGUGACAGUUCGAGAUACUGAGUAAUUGUUUCUGAGGUUUGGUACUGUGAUGGAGGGAUAAUUUAGUUCAUUUGGCGAUGCAAAGGUUUGAUCACACGUUCUGUUGUCCCUUGUAAUUAGAUGCAGA
Molecule: unclassified non-coding RNA, 216 nt
Filed under: Hevea brasiliensis (rubber tree)
Lineage: Eukaryota; Viridiplantae; Streptophyta; Magnoliopsida; Malpighiales; Euphorbiaceae
Source: RNAcentral